RNAcentral lists this ribosomal RNA (295 nucleotides) under uncultured Candidatus Neoehrlichia sp. RNAcentral describes it as "partial 16S ribosomal RNA". It matches the Rfam family "Bacterial small subunit ribosomal RNA", at positions 29 to 334 of the family's 1533-position model. Lineage: Bacteria; Pseudomonadati; Pseudomonadota; Alphaproteobacteria; Rickettsiales; Anaplasmataceae. The record is from RNAcentral.
AACGAACGCUGGCGGCAAGCCUAACACAUGCAAGUCGAACGAAUUAUCCUUAUAGUUUACUAUAAGUAUAAUUAGUGGCAGACGGGUGAGUAAUGCAUAGGAAUCUACCUAGUAGUAUGGAAUAGCUGUUAGAAAUGACAGGUAAUACCGUAUAAUCCCUGAGGGGGAAAGAUUUAUCGCUAUUAGAUGAGCCUAUGUUAGAUUAGCUAGUUGGUGAGGUAAUGGCUUACCAAGCUGUGAUCUAUAGCUGGUCUGAGAGGACGAUCAGCCACACUGGAACUGAGAUACGGUCCAG